RNAcentral lists this ribosomal RNA (496 nucleotides) under uncultured bacterium. RNAcentral's name for it is "partial 16S ribosomal RNA". It matches the Rfam family "Bacterial small subunit ribosomal RNA", at positions 28 to 506 of the family's 1533-position model. The record is from RNAcentral.
GAUGAACGCUGGCGGCGUGCCUAAUACAUGCAAGUCGAGCGAACAGACGAGGAGCUUGCUCCUCUGACGUUAGCGGCGGACGGGUGAGUAACACGUGGAUAACCUACCUAUAAGACUGGGAUAACUUCGGGAAACCGGAGCUAAUACCGGAUAAUAUAUUGAACCGCAUGGUUCAAUAGUGAAAGACGGUUUUGCUGUCACUUAUAGAUGGAUCCGCGCCGCAUUAGCUAGUUGGUAAGGUAACGGCUUACCAAGGCAACGAUGCGUAGCCGACCUGAGAGGGUGAUCGGCCACACUGGAACUGAGACACGGUCCAGACUCCUUCGGGAGGCAGCAGUAGGGAAUCUUCCGCAAUGGGCGAAAGCUUGACGGAGCAACGCCGCGUGAGUGAUGAAGGUCUUCGGAUCGUAAAACUCUGUUAUUAGGGAAGAACAAAUGUGUAAGUAACUAUGCACGUCUUGACGGUACCUAAGCAGAAAGCCACGGCUAACUACGU